UUCGUGUGCUCCUCCGAUCCUCUCGUCGUCGUCGUCCGCUGCGGGCGGUGUCCGCCUGUGGCCACGUCACGAGCACGCUAGCAGCAGGAUAUCCAGCAUCUCGUGAGCUGGUGGGAGUGAGCACCUCAGGGUCCGCGGGGAGCUGCCGCUGCGGGGCUCGAUCGAGCAAACAUGUGUCAUAUGCAGCAUGCAGCUAUUGUACAUCAUAUUCGUGAUGUCAGUAGUAGUUCUGUGCCCGGAUGAUCGAUAUAAUUUGGCAAUUCGACGGCACUCGUGCCAUGUUGGUUGUUGCUUUCCAUGGACCGUACGUGUGGGUUGGCGAGACGAGCGGUGAGCACCUCAAGCUAGGUUGGGCGACGGUCGUCGUCAGACCUGGACAGGAGUACAACGUGCGGCCGGAAAGAACAGAGCAUAUGCAGAGCUCCACGUUGGAUCGGUUGCAUGCCAUCAGAACUUGUUACAUGUACGUGCAAGCAGCAAAACUCUCUGCUAAGGCCUAAGGCAGGCCGACUCAGUCGAGAGGACCUCAGCUCGGCCUGUGAGCAGAUUCCGGCCGGAUCUGAGUGUUUCUUAGCAGUAGCACACGGCCCAGGGCCGUCUCUCAUCGGCCUUUUCUUUCUUUAUUUCUUUUCAGCUGUUUUUCAGCAACUCUGUGCUUGUGCUUGUGCUUGUGCAGGCUGCUGAGCAGCUGAGGUGUCGCAGUCGCAGCUACUUCACCGACUCGCGAUCCCGCAGUUGCUUGGAGAUAUCCAUGCGGUGGCGGCGGCGGUGGAGGCCACUGGCUCCGCCAAACACUGCAGCACUGGCCUGGCCACCAGUUUUCCCCAAUUUUGUCUUCACCAUCCAGGCAUGGCGUGCAACGACCUCUCAAACGGUUCCGAACGCCUCGCCGCUCAAAUUAAUUUACACGGCACAAGCAGCAAACGUAACCCACCCCGUUCCCCUUUUUUUUUGGGAAGACCGUAUACUUAACAAUGAAUUUGGGUCCUUGUUCUUGUUUCUGUUUGCUAGUUGGAGAAAUGAUUACAGAAGCCUAUGAGGUUUUCGUGUCCCUAAAACGCGCUAUAUACUUAUAUAUGAUGCUAUCUAGCCUGAAUCUACCAACAGUUGGGGUUCACUAGUUGGAGAAACGAUUACUAGUACAGUCUAUCUAUAGUAUCGAUACUUGCCCGUUGCCACUGAGCUUAAAACAUGGAAAGAACAACUGAUUGUUAAGUUCAGGGUUUGAUUAAGAUUCCACAGGGAGGUACAGCAAUAAACUACUGUAAUUCUCUUC
Sorghum bicolor (sorghum) is the source of this 1276-nucleotide long non-coding RNA. RefSeq lists it as uncharacterized. The record is from RefSeq and is a predicted model, not a curated record. NCBI's taxonomy places the organism in Eukaryota, Viridiplantae, Streptophyta, Magnoliopsida, Poales, Poaceae. The transcript has 4 exons.